AUUGAACGCUGGCGGCAGGCCUAACACAUGCAAGUCGAGCGGAUGAAGGGAGCUUGCUCCUGGAUUCAGCGGCGGACGGGUGAGUAAUGCCUAGGAAUCUGCCUGGUAGUGGGGGAUAACGUCCGGAAACGGGCGCUAAUACCGCAUACGUCCUGAGGGAGAAAGUGGGGGAUCUCCGGACCUCACGCUAUCAGAUGAGCCUAGGUCGGAUUAGCUAGUUGGUGGGGUAAAGGCCUACCAAGGCGACGAUCCGUAACUGGUCUGAGAGGAUGAUCAGUCACACUGGAACUGAGACACGGUCCAGACUCCUACGGGAGGCAGCAGUGGGGAAUAUUGGACAAUGGGCGAAAGCCUGAUCCAGCCAUGCCGCGUGUGUGAAGAAGGUCUUCGGAUUGUAAAGCACUGUAAGUUGGGAAGAAGGGAAGUAAGUUAAUACCUUGCUGUUUUGACGUUACCAACAGAAUAAGCACCGGCUAACUUCGUG
RNAcentral lists this ribosomal RNA (484 nucleotides) under uncultured bacterium. RNAcentral's name for it is "partial 16S ribosomal RNA". It matches the Rfam family "Bacterial small subunit ribosomal RNA", at positions 30 to 507 of the family's 1533-position model. The record is from RNAcentral.